This is a long non-coding RNA of Piliocolobus tephrosceles (Ugandan red Colobus), 597 nucleotides long. RefSeq lists it as uncharacterized. Lineage: Eukaryota; Metazoa; Chordata; Mammalia; Primates; Cercopithecidae. The transcript is spliced from 3 exons. The record is from RefSeq and is a predicted model, not a curated record.
CAGACAUAAUCAACAGGUUACAGGAGGGGCUACUGAUGUUCACGGAGGUGGUGCUGACACAUGCAUACUGAACAAACACGCAUGCAGCAUAUGAGCCCUGUUCACUUACCAGUGGUGACUGAGCAUUUAAAUUCAUUACAGACAGGUCCUAUGUGCAAAUAGCAGAAGCAGAGACACAAAGGCGCUCAGUGUGCAGCCUCUGUAAACGGCCAGAGCCAGGCCAUGGGAUGCAGGCGCUGUGGUGUGUCUGUACGUCUCUAACCCAGCUUUAAAGAGGAGUGAAGCACCAACAUAGGCUGAGACUUGGAUAAGCCUUGAAAACACUGGGUGAGUGAACUGAGGUAGACACGCAAGUCCACAUCCUGAAAUGUCCCAUUGACAUGAAGCAUGCAGAGGAGGAAAAUCCCAGAUCACAGGAGGUCAGGGGAAGGGAAAUGGAGAGUGACCACGUAAUGGAGGGUGAACAUAUUGUGUGAAGAUUAUUUGUCAAUAUUACUGCAUUAAAACUAUUCCAAAUAAAAGUGUAUAAUUUGGUUAAAAAAAAAAAAGAUGAAGAGAGAAAUAAAAACAAUACCAGAAAAGUCAUGAACUGCUGAA